This 2034-nucleotide ribosomal RNA is filed under the name metagenome. RNAcentral's name for it is "bacterial LSU rRNA". It matches the Rfam family "Bacterial large subunit ribosomal RNA", at positions 14 to 1992 of the family's 2925-position model. The record is from RNAcentral.
AGGGUGUAUGGUGGAUGUUCUGGCGUCAGUGGCUGAAGAAAGACGUGGUAGACUGCGAUAAGCUUCGGGGAGGUGUCAACGACCUUUGAUCCGUAGAUUUCUGAAUGGGGCAACCUGGCAGGUUAAGACCUGUCACUUGUAACUGAAUUCAUAGGUUACAGGGAGGCACGUAGGGAAGUGAAACAUCUCAGUACCUACAGGAAUAUAAAGUAACAACGAUUCCCUCAGUAGCGGCGAGCGAAGCGGGAAUAGCCCAAACCGGUGAAGCGUGAUAGAUGAUGAUCGUUUCUUCACUGGGGUCGUGGGAAGAUCAUUCAAGGAGUCAUCAAUCCUUGGGGUGAUCGCAUAUGUUUAGGAGAACGCUUUGGAAAGAGCGACCAAAGGAGGUGAAAGUCCUGUAUCCGAAAAACAUGUGCGACCCUUUGUUCUCUCCCAAGUAGUACCGGACACGGGAAACCCGGUAUGAAUUCGCGAGGACCACCUCGCAAGGCUAAAUACUUACUGACGACCGGUAGCGAACCAGUAGCGUGAGCGGACAAUGAAAAGUACCCGGAGUACGGGAGUGAAAGAGUACCUGAAACCAUACACUUACAAGCGGUCGGAGAACUAUGGCCUUCGGGCAAUGUUUGACGGCGUGCCUUUUGCAUAAUGAGUCUGCGAGUUACUGUAUGUGGCCAGGCUAAGAACUUCCAGUUCGGAGCCGAAGGGAAACCGAGUGUUAAUAGCGCGUCUAGUCGCAUGCAGUAGACCCGAAGCUGGAGUGAUCUAUCCGUGUGCAGGUUGAAGCGAGCGUAAGACCUCGUGGAGGACCGAACCCACUAAGGCUGAAAACUUAGGGGAUGACGUGCGGAUUGGAGUAAAAGGCUAAUCAAACCCAGUGAUAUCUGGUUCUCUCCGAAAUAUAUUUAGGUAUAGCCUCGCGUUAUUAGUUAUGGGGGGUAGAGCACUGAAUGGAUGAUGGGGCCUACCGGCUUACUGACUUCAAUCAAACUCCGAAUACCCAUGACCGUAUCGCGGGAGUCAGACCUUGGGGGAUAAGCUCCAUGGUCGAAAGGGAAACAGCCCAGACCAUCAGUUAAGGUCCCAAAGCUGUUGCUAAGUGCAUAAGGAUCUGGAGUUGCUAAGACAGUGAGGAUGUUGGCUUAGAAGCAGCCACCAUUUAAAAAGUGCGUAAUAGCUUACUCAUCGAGCAACUUUGGGCCGAAAAUUAACGGGACUAAGCAACACACCGAAACUAUGGGUGUAUAUGAAUUUAUACGCGGUAGGAGAGCGUUCUACGUUAGAUUGAAGGUGUACCGAAAGGAACAUUGGACGAUGUAGAAGUGCUUAUGCAGACAUGAGUAGCGAUAAGGGGAGCGAGAAUCUCCCCCACCGAAAGCCUAAGGUUUCCUGGGGAAGGCAAAUCCGCCCAGGGUGAGUCGGGACCUAAGGCGAGGCCGAAGGGCGUAGUCGAAGGACAACAGGUUAAUAUUCCUGUACCACUUGGUAUGCGUUAUACCAAAGGAGGGACGCAGGAGGAUAGGUGAUCCGAGUGAUAGUUAUCUCGGUACAAGCGUGUAGGGUGUCCACUAGGUAAAUCCGGGGGACGUGACCUGAGACGUGAUGUGGAGCGCAAGCGAACUCAUUGAUUCCAUGCUGCCAAGAAAAUCUUCUAGGAAGUGUAACAAGUGCCCGUACUAAAACUGACACAGGUAGGCAGGUCGAAUAGACCAAGGUGCUCGAGAAAACUCUCGUUAAGGAACUCGGCAAAUUGGCCCCGUAACUUCGGGAUAAGGGGUGCCCCUCUGGUGAAGAACCUGCGUUCUCAGCUAUGGGGGGUCACAGUAAAUAGGUGGUAGCGACUGUUUAGCAAAAACACAGCACUAUGCCAAGUCGCAAGACGCAGUAUAUAGUGUGACGCCUGCCCAAUGCUGGAAGGUCAAGGGGAACGGUUAGCGCAAGCGAAGCUGUGAACUCAAGCCCCAGUGAAUGGCGGCCGUAACAAUGACGGUCCUAAGGUAGCGAAAUUCCUUGUCGGGUAAGUUCCGACCUGCA